Molecule: ribosomal RNA, 297 nt
Filed under: uncultured bacterium
Lineage: Bacteria
Description: partial 16S ribosomal RNA
Rfam family: Bacterial small subunit ribosomal RNA
Source: RNAcentral
GGUAGUCCACGCCGUAAACGAUGGAUACUAGCUGUUGGAGGUAUCGACCCCUUCAGUAGCGAAGCUAACGCGUUAAGUAUCCCGCCUGUGGAGUACGGUCGCAAGACUAAAACAUAAAGGAAUUGACGGGGACCCGCACAAGCGGUGGAUCGUGUUCUUUAAUUCGAUGAUAAACGAAGAACCUUACCAGGGUUUGACAUCCUUGGAAUUUCUGUGAAAGCAGAGAGUGCUUUAUUGAGCCAAGUGACAGGUGAUGCAUGGCCGUCGUCAGCUCGUGUCGUGAGAUGUUUGGUUAAG